UUACAACAGCAUCAAGGCCUUGCUGGACGCUUUUAAGUAUGCAGGUACACCAAGGCGCACUACCACGGGCAGGACUGGUCACAGCGGACAGAGUUCUCUGUGGGGAGGAACAAGGUCAAGUGGGAGCCACUUGUGGACCCUCGGAAGUUCUUCACAUCUGGUGCAAGCAAUGAAUAAAAUAUGGAAAGAAAAGCAACGGACGACACAAAUGCGACUUGCACCAAGCUACUCAGCGGGAAACAUGGGGUACAGCAAGUGGACAGUGCACCAAAGGCGCAACGCCUUGUCAUGUUGGAGCAACGGAGAAAACUGGUGCAAAGUGCCGCUGGCACCAAAAUAACUCAUUAUUUGAAUUCAAAUCAUCUUUUGAAGUAUUGAGUGGAAAAUUGCAUAGUGAUCACAAAUAGGAGAUGCCAAACAUCCUCGUGAACAAGAGGCUCGGAAGAAUGUCUGUGACGUCCUCUACCACAGGAUAAUGCAUAAUUGUGAGGGAAAAUCUAAUAUUUUAACAUUCUAGUCGGUGAAGGUUUCAUAGUUGUAUAAAAAGAACGUGUGAUUAUUUUGUUAUUAAAUGUUUCCUCCAAUUUUAACUUUGAAAAGGCAGUAUUUGAAUAAAGCCUUCUCAAUGCGGU
This is a non-coding RNA of Petromyzon marinus (sea lamprey), 632 nucleotides long. Lineage: Eukaryota; Metazoa; Chordata; Hyperoartia; Petromyzontiformes; Petromyzontidae. The record is from RefSeq and is a predicted model, not a curated record.